RNAcentral lists this ribosomal RNA (292 nucleotides) under uncultured bacterium. RNAcentral's name for it is "partial 16S ribosomal RNA". It matches the Rfam family "Bacterial small subunit ribosomal RNA", at positions 505 to 796 of the family's 1533-position model. The record is from RNAcentral.
GUGCCAGCAGCCGCGGUAAGACGAAGGGGGCUAGCGUUAUUCGGAAUUACUGGGCGUAAAGCGCACGUAGGCGGACUGGAAAGUUGGGGGUGAAAGCCCAGGGCUCAACCCUGGAACUGCCUUCAAAACUCCCAGUCUUGAGGUCGAGAGAGGUGAGUGGAAUUCCGAGUGUAGAGGUGAAAUUCGUAGAUAUUCGGAGGAACACCAGUGGCGAAGGCGGCUCACUGGCUCGAUACUGACGCUGAGGUGCGAAAGCGUGGGGAGCAAACAGGAUUAGAAACCCUGGUAGUCC